UACGGGGGGGGCAAGCGUUGUUCGGAAUUACUGGGCGUAAAGGGCUCGUAGGUGGCCAACUAAGUCAGACGUGAAAUCCCUCGGCUUAACCGGGGAACUGCGUCUGAUACUGGAUGGCUGGAGUGUGGCAGAGGGGGAUGGAAUUCCGCGUGUAGCAGUGAAAUGCGUAGAUAUGCGGAGGAACACCGAUGGCGAAGGCAAUCCCCUGGGCCUGCACUGACGCUCAUGCACGAAAGCGUGGGGAGCAAACAGG
This 253-nucleotide ribosomal RNA is filed under the name uncultured bacterium. Its description in RNAcentral is "partial 16S ribosomal RNA". It matches the Rfam family "Bacterial small subunit ribosomal RNA", at positions 524 to 776 of the family's 1533-position model. The record is from RNAcentral.